Molecule: ribosomal RNA, 452 nt
Filed under: uncultured bacterium
Lineage: Bacteria
Description: bacterial SSU rRNA
Rfam family: Bacterial small subunit ribosomal RNA
Source: RNAcentral
AACGAACGCUGGCGGCAGGCUUAACACAUGCAAGUCGAACGCUCGUAGCAAUACGGGAGUGGCGGACGGGUGAGUAACGCGUGGGAACGUGCCCUGAGGUUGGGAAUAACUGCGGGAAACUGCAGCUAAUACCUGAUGCGCCCCGAGAGGGGGAAAGAUUUAUCGCCUUGGGAGCGGCCCGCGUCGGAUUAGCUAGUUGGUGGGGUAACGGCCUACCAAGGCUUCGAUCCGUAGCUGGUCUGAGAGGACGAUCAGCCACACUGGGACUGAGACACGGCCCAGACUCCUACGGGAGGCAGCAGUGGGGAAUCUUGCGCAAUGGGGGCAACCCUGACGCAGCCAUGCCGCGUGAAUGAUGAAGGCCUUAGGGUUGUAAAGUUCUUUUGCCCGUGACGAUGAUGACGGUAACGGGAGAAUAAGCUCCGGCUAAACUUCGUGCCAGCAGCCGCGGU